This 373-nucleotide ribosomal RNA is filed under the name uncultured bacterium. RNAcentral's name for it is "bacterial SSU rRNA". It matches the Rfam family "Bacterial small subunit ribosomal RNA", at positions 524 to 898 of the family's 1533-position model. The record is from RNAcentral.
UACGUAGGUGGCAAGCGUUGUCCGGAAUUACUGGGCGUAAAGGAUGCGUAGGCGGCCUCUUAAGUGGGAUGUGAAAUACCCGGGCUUAACCCGGGAAAUGCAUUCCAUACUGGGAGGCUAGAGUGCAGGAGAGGAAAGCGGAAUUCCCAGUGUAGCGGUGAAAUGCGUAGAGAUUGGGAGGAACACCAGUGGCGAAGGCGGCUUUCUGGACUGUAACUGACGCUGAGGCAUGAAAGUGUGGGGAGCAAACAGGAUUAGAUACCCUGGUAGUCCACACCGUAAACGAUGGGCACUAGGUGUAGGGGGCGAAGCCCUCUGUGCCGCAGUUAACACAUUAAGUGCCCCGCCUGGGGAGUACGAUCGCAAGAUUAAA